CGUAGAAGAAAUAUUGACACAUUUAUAUAGUCUUCAAUAAGGAUUUUAAAUUUUUAUACUCCAAAGUAACACAUAUAAAGGCUGAUACAGAUGAUCAAAAGAAGUAAAUCAUGACAGCUACAUAACCCCAUUAUUCCUUCACAAAAAACUAAACUACUAAAAAUUAAUCAGUCCAAUAGAUCUACACAUUAUAUGGAGUAUGAACCAAGAGACUUAUAUCAAAUACUAUUACAUAUAAAAUAUGGAACAUUUAUGUUUAAACAAAUUAAACAGUUAGUUUGUAUAAGUCAUAUGUCUGGAUCUAUGUGUUGAGACAUAAAAUAAUUAUACCAAAAACAAUACUACAAUGGAAGGCAAUUCAUACAAAGAACCAUCACAACCUUUCCUUUUAGAGGAGAAAAUCACAGCAUAGCCAAUUGGGACAACCAAGUGUUUGUGGUGCUUCUUUCAAAAAAGGAGAUAGUGAUAGGGUUUUUCAGUCAAAAGUUAUCACUACACUAUCAACAUAGCAAGGCAAAAUUAUCCAUAGAGAACUCUCAAUCAAAAUACAAAAGGGCAGUACCAAAUAUGAUUAAACCUAAGACUUGACAAGAUCAAAUAUCCAACCAAAUUAUAUUCCGACCCA
Molecule: long non-coding RNA, 625 nt
Filed under: Elaeis guineensis (African oil palm)
Lineage: Eukaryota; Viridiplantae; Streptophyta; Magnoliopsida; Arecales; Arecaceae
Description: long non-coding RNA (EGUI_LNC030246)
Source: RNAcentral